GGAUGAUUAGCUCAGCUGGCAGAGCACCUGACUCUUAAUCAGGGUGUCCAGGGUUCGAACCCCUGAUCAUCCACCA
This 76-nucleotide transfer RNA is filed under the name Lachnospiraceae bacterium. RNAcentral's name for it is "tRNA-Lys". It matches the Rfam family "tRNA". Rfam says of the family: Transfer RNA (tRNA) molecules are approximately 80 nucleotides in length. RNAcentral also lists the same sequence under 2 other names. The record is from RNAcentral. Lineage: Bacteria; Bacillati; Bacillota; Clostridia; Lachnospirales; Lachnospiraceae.